CCAUCUCAGUUCGGAUUGCAGGCUGCAACUCGCCUGCAUGAAGCUGGAAUUGCUAGUAAUCGCGGAUCAGCAAGCCGCGGUGAAUACGUUCCCGGGCCUUGUACACACCGCCCGUCACACCAUGAGAGUCGGGAACACCCGAAGUCCGUAGUCUAACCGCAAGGGGGCGCGGCCGAAGGUGGGUCCGGUAAUUGGGGUGAAGUCGUAACAAGGUAUC
Molecule: ribosomal RNA, 217 nt
Filed under: uncultured bacterium
Lineage: Bacteria
Description: partial 16S ribosomal RNA
Rfam family: Bacterial small subunit ribosomal RNA
Source: RNAcentral